Molecule: long non-coding RNA, 592 nt
Organism: Pollicipes pollicipes
Lineage: Eukaryota; Metazoa; Arthropoda; Thecostraca; Pollicipedomorpha; Pollicipedidae
Exons: 2
Source: RefSeq, a predicted model, not a curated record
GUAUGAAGGUCGUCGCUCUCCUGCUUGUGGUCUGCGCCUCCGUGGCCUGGGCAAAGCCCCUCUGCUUCGGAGGCAUCUGCAUUCCUAACGGCCAGGCCACUGGAGGGGCUGCGGGCACCGUCACCAGUGGCACCAGCAAUACACCUGGUGGCACCAGCAAGGUUACGUCUGUCAGCUCCAGCGCAACGGGAUCCGCCAGCGGGCCGUGUGCAAACAGCCACAACUCCGCACAUGCCUCCAACAAGAACAAACAGGGACUGCUGGGCAAUGCGGAAUCAAGCGACACCGGAGCCGUCUCAAACCAGAGCACCGGCUGCUAAAUGACUCAGUCGCAGUCAUCUCGGCAUGCGUCGCAAUGGCACAUGUGAAACGCUUGUUACGUCGACAGACAUUGUCAUAUCGGGCGUCGGUUGUGACAUGGAAUCGUAAUGUGCAAUACAGGCUUACCCCGCCAUGAUUCAGCUCCAAUGUGUUGGCGCUGACAGUGCCAGGUGAUGUUUCUCCGUGGAAGACGCACCACAGGAUGCACGACAGUUAAUGGCGUGCAAAGACCAAUAAAACGUACGUCACCCAUAUCUUGGGGUAGCAUCUU